UAUAUAUUAGUGUAUUAGCACAUAAGAUUUUGAUUCUUUUAGAUUUAAUUUAAUUUAUUAUAUAUAA
RNAcentral lists this transfer RNA (67 nucleotides) under Abaria herringbona. Its description in RNAcentral is "tRNA-Gln". The record is from RNAcentral. Lineage: Eukaryota; Metazoa; Arthropoda; Insecta; Trichoptera; Xiphocentronidae.